AGCUUUUCGAAUCCGUGCUAAGAUUUCGUCAGACACCAACCCAUUAGGGCUGAUCAGACUUCCAAGUUGUCGACGCG
Non-coding RNA from Schistosoma haematobium, 77 nucleotides. The record is from Rfam. Lineage: Eukaryota; Metazoa; Platyhelminthes; Trematoda; Strigeidida; Schistosomatidae.